Molecule: unclassified non-coding RNA, 361 nt
Filed under: soil metagenome
Description: partial contains 5.8S ribosomal RNA, internal transcribed spacer 2, and large subunit ribosomal RNA
Rfam family: 5.8S ribosomal RNA (bases 1-120)
Source: RNAcentral
GAUGAAGAACGUAGCGAAAUGCGAUAAGUAAUGCGAAUUGCAGAAUUCAGUGAAUCAUCGAAUCUUUGAACGCACAUUGCGCCCGCCAGUAUUCUGGCGGGCAUGCCUGUCUGAGCGUCGUUUCGACCCUCGCGCCCGGCUUCUGUCGGGGGCGGUGUUGGGGAUCGGCCACACCCUUCAGUGGGAGGCCGGCCCCUAAAUUCAGUGGCGACCACGCUGUAGCCUCCCCUGCGUAGUACUAAAACCACCUCGCAGGCGGAGAGCGGUGCGGCCCGCCGUAAAACCCCCCAACUUUUACAAGGUCGACCUCAGAUCAGGUAGGAAUACCCGCUGAACUUAAGCAUAUCCAAUAAGCGGAGGA